UGUGGAGUGUUCUGGAUAUGAUGAAGUGUGCAUGGAGAUUGUGAGUGAUCAAUAAGGGAUCAGUCACUCCUAAUAAGGGAAGCGAACAUCCUAUGUGAUCUCAUAGGAUGGUAAUUCUGAAAGUCUUUUACCGAAGCAGGGUGAUAAUUAGAAAAAAAUUUUUAAUAUAUCAUCAAUUGAAUCAUCACCUUCAGAUCAAGAUAUAUAAAGAUAAGUGAUUGGGUUUGACAUAUUUUCAUGCCCAUAGCUCAUCUGAG
RNAcentral lists this long non-coding RNA (257 nucleotides) under Elaeis guineensis (African oil palm). RNAcentral's name for it is "long non-coding RNA (EGUI_LNC069665)". The record is from RNAcentral. Lineage: Eukaryota; Viridiplantae; Streptophyta; Magnoliopsida; Arecales; Arecaceae.